GACAGUGUGGCCGAGUGGUUAAGGCGACUGACUCGAAUUCUUCUCGGGCUAUCAGUUGGGAUUUUCCCGCGCAGGUUCAAAUCCUGCUGCUGUCG
This 95-nucleotide transfer RNA is filed under the name Spathaspora passalidarum NRRL Y-27907. It matches the Rfam family "tRNA". Rfam says of the family: Transfer RNA (tRNA) molecules are approximately 80 nucleotides in length. Their secondary structure includes four short double-helical elements and three loops (D, anti-codon, and T loops). Lineage: Eukaryota; Fungi; Ascomycota; Pichiomycetes; Serinales; Debaryomycetaceae. The record is from Rfam by way of RNAcentral.